CCUACGGGAGGCAGCAGUGGGGAAUAUUGCACAAUGGGGGAAACCCUGAUGCAGCGACGCCGCGUGAGUGAAGAAGUAUCUCGGUACGUAAAGCUCUAUCAGCAGGGAAGAAAAUGACGGUACCUGACUAAGAAGCCCCGGCUAACUACGUGCCAGCAGCCGCGGUAAUACGUAGGGGGCAAGCGUUAUCCGGAUUUACUGGGUGUAAAGGGGGCGUAGACGGCAGCACAAGUCAGGAGUGAAAUCCCGGGGCUUAACCCCGGAACUGCUUUGGAAACUGUGUGGCUGGAGUGCAGGAGGGGUAAGCGGAAUUCCUGGUGUAGCGGUGAAAUGCGUAGAUAUUAGGAAGAACACCAGUGGCGAAGGCGACUUACUGGACUGUAACUGACGCUGAGGCAUGAGAGCAUGGGGAGCAAACAGGAUUAGAUACCCCGGUAGUC
RNAcentral lists this ribosomal RNA (440 nucleotides) under uncultured bacterium. RNAcentral describes it as "partial 16S ribosomal RNA". It matches the Rfam family "Bacterial small subunit ribosomal RNA", at positions 338 to 795 of the family's 1533-position model. The record is from RNAcentral.